AUUUUUGUUACUUGUUAACCGUUAAUGUCGAAAUUGAAGAAGUCUAGACUCUAGCCAUCAUAGGUUUAUUAAGUUUAGCAUAUUUGUAUGAGUAAACGACAACUAAACAAUAUAGUUCUCUUUUCAGUAUAACAUGAUCUGGAAUCCAGAAUGUGACUAAAAGUUGUCACAUGAAGCUGAUCAUAGACUAUAACUUUUCUGAAACAGAUCUAGAAUCCCAUGAAAAAGUGAAACAUAAAUCUGUGAAAAAAUAUUAACAUAAAAUGGAUGAGCAGAAUAGAGAAGAGGAGAUAACUGUAUCUAAUAACGAUGGUGAAAAUACUACCAUUUUCAUUCAAGUUCGACGAUCACAGAGGAAAAGCAAGAAAAAAAGCGAUCCCAAUUUCAUUGGAGAUGAUAAAACAGAAGCUGUAAAAAGUGACGAUGAGCCUGUAAUUUUUGAGGUGAGAGAAAUUUCUGGGGACAUUAAAAGGGAAAGUGAGGAAGAAGCAGAAGAAAAUUCUGUUGUUGCAGCAGAAGGUAUACCUGAAGGGAGCUCGAAUGGAGAUGAUGAUGUUGACUGGGAAGCAUUCAACAAGGAAUAUCCUGAACUCAGUGAAACAACACGUCAAGGAAAAUAUGGAUGUAAAGACUGCUCAAAGUCUUUUCAUCACAAGAAUGAUUUGGUACGACAUAUGAAUAUCCACAAUGGGACCAAGCCCUACACCUGUGAUACAUGUGGGAAAACAUUUUUGCGCAGUGAUUAUUUGCGACUUCACGUCAUCAAACAUCAGGGAGUGAAGCCCCUCAAGUGUGACUUGUGCGAAAGGCGUUUUUACGACCGAUCCAACUUACGUCAACAUAUGAGAACCCAUACGGGUGAAAAACCGGCCAUGUGUCCGUACUGUCCGCACAGAUGCUCUCAACUGUCCGACAUGAGAAAACAUUUGACCAUUCACACGAAAGAAAAAGCAUUUCAGUGUGAUACAUGUGGUAAAACUUUCUCGCUGAAGACUGGAUUAGUUGCCCACCAGCGCUUACACACGGGAGAACGUCCUUUUGCUUGUGAAUAUUGCCCUAAGCGUUUCCGUGAUCACACGUCUAUGAGACGACAUCGGCGAAUUCAUACAGGUGAUAAACCGUUUUUGUGCACUCAGUGUGGUAAGACAUUUACGCAAGUUGCAAAUAUGAAGAGACAUAUGCUGACGCACACAUCAGAAAGCAAAGGACGGCUAUAUCCCUGUCCUUUUUGUGGUGUUGAGCUGGCAUCGAAGAGCGACGUCCGAAGCCAUGUGGCCAAAGAACACGAGCAGAAGAAAGAGAGUCAGCAGCCCAAGGCCACCGGAUCUUCAGUAGCAGAAGAUAAUCCUGAUGGAGAAGCUAACAAUGAGUUCAUAACUGUUUACGCGGACGAAGACAAAUCUAUCAAGACUACCGUUGAAGGCGAAGAAACUCACGUGUGCAACCUCUGUGGAAAAACUUUUCCCAUGGACGCGAGCCUUCAAGAGCACGUCAGGACACACCUUAAUGCAUCUUCCAAAGAUUUCCAGUGCGAAACGUGCGGGAAAACGUUCUGUCAAGCUUCCUCUCUCAAGGCGCACCAGCUCGUUCAUUCGGGAAUAAAACCACACACUUGCAACGUUUGCCAAGCAAGUUUCCGCAAAACCCAUCAUCUUCGCCGGCAUUACCUAGUUCACACUGGCGAGCGUCCCUAUCAGUGUGAUUUCUGUGACCGGACAUUCACCAGCAGUGGUAAUCUGAAUAAACAUCGUGCCAUUCACUUGGGAGAGAAGAACUUUGAGUGCGAAUUUUGCUCCAAGAAGUUUACCCAGUCUUCGAAUUUGUCCAAACAUCGAGCUAUUCAUUUGAGACAACAAGCGGUGGUUGGAGAAAAUGGACAAUCUGGAGAUCAAAUUAUUAGCGCUGCUCCUGCGGUAGCUAGAAAAGGUCGAGGCGGAAAGAAGAGAAAUUCAGAGCCAGAAAAGGAGGCUAUUCUGACCUCGACUGUCGAUGAGCUCCAGCAAGAAGAUGAAGGUCAUGCAGCAGUCCUUCACAUUGUCGGUACAGGGGAUGAAACCCAAGGCGACCAUGAAACCGAGGUGUCGUAUGUUACGCUGUCCGAUGGUGAUAUCAUUAUUGAAAUUUGAUUUCGCCAAUCUAUGCUUGGAGAAUGCCCAUUUUGGGUUUCCAUUGUUUCCUUUACACAGUCUCAAAUGGAGGGUUAAAUUUACCUCAAGCUCUAGCUGACACCUACAGCACGUAAUAACUUGGCUCAACGUCUGAGGCUAGGUCGCUUGGUACGACGAAAUCACCUUGAUGCAGCUGCAAUCCAUUGACACCGAUCUCGCUCGGGCUGGCGGUUGGCUGUUCAGAAGGUAAAGAUUUUUUAAGUUUCUCUACUCGCCUCUUUUCCCGUCUCCUGGCAGCCAAAUCAAAGUUCUUUUUCGCCUUUUUGGCCUUCUUCUUUGCUGCCCUGAUUUCAUCGUCUUCUGUUGGCGAUAUUACAGUAUUUUCGAUACCGCCAGAUAAAACCGG
Molecule: RNA transcript, 2514 nt
Organism: Daphnia pulicaria
Lineage: Eukaryota; Metazoa; Arthropoda; Branchiopoda; Diplostraca; Daphniidae
Gene name: zinc finger protein 2-like
Exons: 7
Source: RefSeq, a predicted model, not a curated record